Molecule: long non-coding RNA, 742 nt
Filed under: Salmo salar (Atlantic salmon)
Lineage: Eukaryota; Metazoa; Chordata; Actinopteri; Salmoniformes; Salmonidae
Description: lncRNA (ENSSSAG00000082484.1)
Source: RNAcentral
CUGGGAAUGCCUUGGAGGUCGAACAGUUGAAUGAAAUCGACCGGUUGGUUGGUGACCACCGCUCUAGAAAGUUGAGUGAAGUUUAAUCUACUGUUUCUCUCUGUGGGCUGAUAUUUCUGCAAGGCAGUCUCUGCGAGCUGCUCGACAGUCUCGGGGCUACUACGGGCACAGAGGGAACAUUGGUCGCGGGUUGAGCUGCUUUAAAACAACCUGUCAUCGGAGUAGGCCUAGAUUCAAUCAGAUCAAGCAUUAACCAGGAAUAGCAGACACCAGCAUUGCGGAUGUUUUGGCGGUGUUGGGGUGGAACUGCAUUGGAAGCUGUCAAAUUGGUGUCCAUCUCAAUGAAUCUAGGCGUAGCUACAACUACCACCACUCUCGACGGAGAGUCAUAGAGAAUGCAUUUUGGCAUCAUGGGCGGCAAGGAGGAUGAGGAUUCUUGUUCGGCCAAUCAAGUGUACCCAUAACAGCGAGAAGUACAGUAGUGGUGCUGAGCGUGCUGCAGCAUCCCCUGAUAAAUCAGAAUAAUACAUUUCUAUUUAAAUCCUUUUUAAAUUAGAUUUUUUUUUUUUUCAAAUUGUUUCUUCUCACAAAAGUAGUGCACGUGACCUUUACUACUCUCCCUUUACAGUAGUCUCCCCCCCACAGAAGGAUGUGGCCUUCCACAACUACCUGUCCUCCAUGGAAGGCAUGUGGCCCACCACAACUACCUGUCCUCCAUGGAAGGCAUGUGGCCCACCACAAC